GCGGUAUUUUGACCGUGCUAAGGUAGCAUAAUCAAUUGUUUUUUAAUUGAAAACUAGUAUGAACGGUUUAAUUUACUUAAUUAGUUUGUAAUUUUUAAUAGUAAGUUAAAUAUAAAGUAAGAAUUCUUUAAUAAAUUAGGGGACGAUAAGACCCUAAAAGCUUUAUGAUUGGCAUUUAAUUAGUGAUAGCGGUGUUAUUAAUUCACUGGGGCAGUGAGUUUAGGUAUAUUUAAGUAUAAUUAAAAGCUCCUUUAAAUAAAGAUUUCAUGUAUAAGUUACUUUAGGGAUAACAGUGCAAUAUAUUUGGGGAGACCAUAUCUAUAAAUAUGAUUGCAACCUCGAUGUUG
RNAcentral lists this ribosomal RNA (347 nucleotides) under Dikerogammarus haemobaphes. Its description in RNAcentral is "partial 16S ribosomal RNA". The record is from RNAcentral. Lineage: Eukaryota; Metazoa; Arthropoda; Malacostraca; Amphipoda; Gammaridae.